AACUAAUCUGCAGCCCGACUUGAACGGAGCUCUUUUUUAUUUUUGGCUGAGCUUGUCGUGGUGGUUGAGCCUGCCGAAACUAAGCCAAUAAUAAAAAAAGCGGGAGUGGAAGGCGGAAUUGUCU
RNAcentral lists this unclassified non-coding RNA (124 nucleotides) under Kaistella antarctica. RNAcentral's name for it is "Chryseobacterium antarcticum Flavo-1 RNA". Lineage: Bacteria; Pseudomonadati; Bacteroidota; Flavobacteriia; Flavobacteriales; Weeksellaceae. The record is from RNAcentral.